RNAcentral lists this ribosomal RNA (460 nucleotides) under uncultured bacterium. RNAcentral's name for it is "partial 16S ribosomal RNA". It matches the Rfam family "Bacterial small subunit ribosomal RNA", at positions 338 to 795 of the family's 1533-position model. The record is from RNAcentral.
CCUACGGGCGGCAGCAGUGAGGAAUAUUGGUCAAUGGACGAGAGUCUGAACCAGCCAAGUAGCGUGAAGGAUGACUGCCCUAUGGGUUGUAAACUUCUUUUAUAAAGGAAUAAAACGAGGCACGUGUGCCUUUUUGCAUGUACUUUAUGAAUAAGGAUCGGCUAACUCCGUGCCAGCAGCCGCGGUAAUACGGAGGAUCCGAGCGUUAUCCGGAUUUAUUGGGUUUAAAGGGAGCGUAGAUGGGUUGUUAAGUCAGUUGUGAAAGUUUGCGGCUCAACCGUAAAAUUGCAAUUGAUACUGGCAGUCGUGAGUACAGUUGAGGUAGGCGGAAUUCGUGGUGUAGCGGUGAAAUGCUUAGAUAUCACGAAGAACCCCGAUUGCGAAGGCAGCUUACUAAACUGUGACUGACAUUGAUGCUCGAAAGUGUGGGUAUCAAACAGGAUUAGAGACCCGAGAAGUC